AAGCUUGAUGACGAUGGUAUUAUCUCAUAUAUUCUUGGAGGAUUAGAAGCAGAUUACAAUCCUCUAGUGGCUUCUGUCUCCUCAAAAGAUUACAUAUCAUUAAGUGAUUUGUACGCUCAGCUGCUUUCUUUCGAGG
This 136-nucleotide small nucleolar RNA is filed under the name Leersia perrieri. Its description in RNAcentral is "snoRNA snoZ247". It matches the Rfam family "Small nucleolar RNA Z247". From Rfam's summary of the family: Z247 is a member of the C/D class of snoRNA which contain the C (UGAUGA) and D (CUGA) box motifs. Most of the members of the box C/D family function in directing site-specific 2'-O-methylation of substrate RNAs. Lineage: Eukaryota; Viridiplantae; Streptophyta; Magnoliopsida; Poales; Poaceae. The record is from Rfam by way of RNAcentral.